CUGCAGUCGAACGGCAGCGGGGGAGAAGCUUGCUUCUCCUGCCGGCGAGUGGCGAACGGGUGAGUAAUACAUCGGAACGUGCCCUGUAGUGGGGGAUAACUAGUCGAAAGAUUAGCUAAUACCGCAUACGACCUGAGGGUGAAAGUGGGGGACCGCAAGGCCUCAUGCUAUAGGAGCGGCCGAUGUCUGAUUAGCUAGUUGGUGGGGUAAAGGCCCACCAAGGCGACGAUCAGUAGCUGGUCUGAGAGGACGAUCAGCCACACUGGGACUGAGACACGGCCCAGACUCCUACGGGAGGCAGCAGUGGGGAAUUUUGGACAAUGGGCGAAAGCCUGAUCCAGCAAUGCCGCGUGUGUGAAGAAGGCCUUCGGGUUGUAAAGCACUUUUGUCCGGAAAGAAAUGGCUCUGGUUAAUACCUGGGGUCGAUGACGGUACCGGAAGAAUAAGGACCGGCUAACUACGUGCCAGCAGCCGCGGUAAUACGUAGGGUCCAAGCGUUAAUCGGAAUUACUGGGCGUAAAGCGUGCGCAGGCGGUUGUGCAAGACCGAUGUGAAAUCCCCGAGCUUAACUUGGGAAUUGCAUUGGUGACUGCACGGCUAGAGUGUGUCAGAGGGGGGUAGAAUUCCACGUGUAGCAGUGAAAUGCGUAGAGAUGUGGAGGAAUACCGAUGGCGAAGGCAGCCCCCUGGGAUAACACUGACGCUCAUGCACGAAAGCGUGGGGAGCAAACAGGAUUAGAUACCCUGGUAGUCCACGCCCUAAACGAUGUCAACUAGUUGUUGGGGAUUCAUUUCCUUAGU
This 800-nucleotide ribosomal RNA is filed under the name Ralstonia sp. M071019V-3. RNAcentral's name for it is "bacterial SSU rRNA". It matches the Rfam family "Bacterial small subunit ribosomal RNA", at positions 55 to 844 of the family's 1533-position model. Lineage: Bacteria; Pseudomonadati; Pseudomonadota; Betaproteobacteria; Burkholderiales; Burkholderiaceae. The record is from RNAcentral.